AACGAACGCUGGCGGCAUGCUUUAUACAUGCAAGUCGAACGCGAAAGUGUCUUCGGACAUUAGUAGAGUGGCAAACGGGUGAGUAACGCGUGGGAAUAUACCUUAUAGUACGGAAUAACCUCGGGAAACUGGGAUUAAUACCGUAUACGCUCUGAGGGGGAAAGAUUUAUCGCUAUAAGAUUAGCCCGCGUCAGAUUAGCUAGUUGGUGGGGUAAUGGCCUACCAAGGCAACGAUCUGUAGCUGGUCUGAGAGGAUGAUCAGCCACAUUGGGACUGAGAUACGGCCCAAACUCCUACGGGAGGCAGCAGUAGGGAAUAUUGGACAAUGGACGAAAGUCUGAUCCAGCGAUGCCGCGUGAGUGAUGAAGGCCUUAGGGUUGUAAAGCUCCUUUAGUGGGGAAGAUAAUGACGGUACCCACAGAAAAAGCACCGGCUAACUUCGUGCCAGCCGCCGCGGUAA
Molecule: ribosomal RNA, 460 nt
Filed under: uncultured bacterium
Lineage: Bacteria
Description: partial 16S ribosomal RNA
Rfam family: Bacterial small subunit ribosomal RNA
Source: RNAcentral